This 74-nucleotide transfer RNA is filed under the name Dasania phycosphaerae. RNAcentral's name for it is "tRNA-Cys". It matches the Rfam family "tRNA". Rfam says of the family: Transfer RNA (tRNA) molecules are approximately 80 nucleotides in length. RNAcentral also lists the same sequence under 2 other names. The record is from RNAcentral. Lineage: Bacteria; Pseudomonadati; Pseudomonadota; Gammaproteobacteria; Cellvibrionales; Spongiibacteraceae.
GGCGCGAUAGCAAAAUGGUUAUGCCGCGGAUUGCAAAUCCGUUUAUCCCGGUUCGAUUCCGGGUCGCGCCUCCA